This 492-nucleotide ribosomal RNA is filed under the name uncultured bacterium. RNAcentral's name for it is "partial 16S ribosomal RNA". It matches the Rfam family "Bacterial small subunit ribosomal RNA", at positions 29 to 507 of the family's 1533-position model. The record is from RNAcentral.
AGUGAACGCUGGCGGUAGGCCUAACACAUGCAAGUCGAACGGCAGCACAGUAAGAGCUUGCUCUUACGGGUGGCGAGUGGCGGACGGGUGAGGAAUACAUCGGAAUCUACUUUUUCGUGGGGGAUAACGUAGGGAAACUUACGCUAAUACCGCAUACGACCUACGGGUGAAAGCAGGGGAUCUUCGGACCUUGCGCGAUUGAAUGAGCCGAUGUCGGAUUGGCUAGUUGGCGGGGUAAAGGCCCACCAAGGCGACGAUCCGUAGCUGGUCUGAGAGGAUGAUCAGCCACACUGGAACUGAGACACGGUCCAGACUCCUACGGGAGGCAGCAGUGGGGAAUAUUGGACAAUGGGCGCAAGCCUGAUCCAGCCAUACCGCGUGGGUGAAGAAGGCCUUCGGGUUGUAACGCCCUUUUGUUGGGAAAGAAAAGCAGCAGGUUAAUACCCCGCUGUUCUGACGGUACCCAAAGAAUAAGCACCGGCUAACUUCGUG